Molecule: non-coding RNA, 23 nt
Filed under: Arabidopsis thaliana (thale cress)
Lineage: Eukaryota; Viridiplantae; Streptophyta; Magnoliopsida; Brassicales; Brassicaceae
Source: RNAcentral
UUCGGGGACAUAUAGCUAUGGAA